GUGUCAGCAGCCGCGGUAAUACGUAGGGCGCAAGCGUUGUCCGGAAUUAUUGGGCGUAAAGAGCUCGUAGGCGGCCUGUCACGUCUGCUGUGAAAUCCCGGGGCUUAACCCCGGGCGUGCAGUGGAUACGGGCUGGCUGGAGGCAGGCAGGGGAGAACGGAAUUCCCGGUGUAGCGGUGAAAUGCGCAGAUAUCGGGAGGAACACCGGUGGCGAAGGCGGUUCUCUGGGCCUGUACUGACGCUGAGGAGCGAAAGCGUGGGGAGCGAACAGGAUUAGAAACCCGCGUAGUCC
This 292-nucleotide ribosomal RNA is filed under the name uncultured Acidothermus sp. RNAcentral describes it as "partial 16S ribosomal RNA". It matches the Rfam family "Bacterial small subunit ribosomal RNA", at positions 505 to 796 of the family's 1533-position model. The record is from RNAcentral. Lineage: Bacteria; Bacillati; Actinomycetota; Actinomycetes; Acidothermales; Acidothermaceae.